Molecule: non-coding RNA, 71 nt
Organism: Bos taurus (domestic cattle)
Lineage: Eukaryota; Metazoa; Chordata; Mammalia; Artiodactyla; Bovidae
Source: Rfam
UCCCUGGUGGUCCAGUGGCUAAGACUGCACUUUAAAUGCAGGGGCCCUGGGUUUGAUUCCUGGUCAGGGAA